This 253-nucleotide ribosomal RNA is filed under the name uncultured bacterium. RNAcentral describes it as "partial 16S ribosomal RNA". It matches the Rfam family "Bacterial small subunit ribosomal RNA", at positions 524 to 776 of the family's 1533-position model. The record is from RNAcentral.
UACGGAGGGGGCUAGCGUUGUUCGGAAUUACUGGGCGUAAAGCGCGCGUAGGCGGAUCUGCAAGUCGGAGGUGAAAGCCCAGGGCUCAACCCUGGAAUUGCCUUCGAUACUGUUUGGCUAGAGACCGGAAGAGGUAAGUGGAACUGCGAGUGUAGAGGUGAAAUUCGUAGAUAUUCGCAAGAACACCAGUGGCGAAGGCGGCUUACUGGUCCGGUUCUGACGCUAAGGCGCGAAAGCGUGGGGAGCAAACAGG